UUAUCAAUUUUUUUAAUUAUGUUUAUUUUCUCGAAGUUUUAAGAUUUAUAUUUAUAAGGAGUUUAAUGUUACAAUAUUUUCUCUAAUAUAAAUAUGGAAGAGAUAUUCUUUUAAAUUAAAAAUAUCUAGUUUUCUGAGAUAUGGAUUUAAUUCAUAAAUAAGAAUUUUUUUAAUUAUAUUUUUUUUAUUUAUAUUUAAAAGGGGAUAAGCUCUUUUAAGAUCUAAAAAUGGUUUUUAAGAUAUUUUUUGUAGGUCUAGUAAUGUCCAUCAUUUAUUUUGUAAAAAUUAUUUUUAUUUUGAUUUUUAUUUUUUCUUUUUUAGUUUUUUAUCAGAAAUAUAAAUAUAAUUUAUAUAUUUAUGUUAAAAUGAUAAAAUUAGUAUUUUAUAAAAUUAAUUUAUAGUAAUUCGGCAAAAAUAAUUUUCACCUGUUUAACAAAAACAUGGUCUUUUGUUUAUUUAAAAGAUCUGGCCUGCCCAAUGAAUAUUUUAAUGGCUGCAGUAUAUUGACUGUACAAAGGUAGCAUAAUCAUUUGUCUUUUAAUUGAAGUCUGGAAUGAAUGGUUGGAUGAAAAAUUUACUUUCUUUAUUUUAUAUAUAUAACUUGAUUUUUAAGUCAAAAAGCUUAAAUAAUAAUAAGGGACGAGAAGACCCUAUAGAACUUUAUCAUUUUUUAAGUUAUUAUUUUUAGUUUAUGAUUAAUUUAACUUGAAAAAUGAUUUUAUUGGGGUGAUAAAAAAAAAUUUAUAACUUUUUUUAUAAUUUUCAUUUAUAUAUGAUUUUUUGAUCCUUUAAUAUGGAAAAAAAGAUUAAGUUACCUUAGGGAUAACAGCGUUAUCAUCUUAGAGAGUUCAUAUUGAUAAGAUGGUUUGCGACCUCGAUGUUGGAUUAAAUUAAGUUUCAGGAGUAUAAGAUUGAACACUGGGUCUGUUCGACCUUUAAAAUUUUACAUGAUCUGAGUUCAGACCGGCGUGAGCCAGGUCGGUUUCUAUCUUUAUUUUUUUACAAUGACUUAGUACGAAAGGACCAGUUUUUGGAAAUAUUUUUUCUCAAUU
RNAcentral lists this ribosomal RNA (1052 nucleotides) under Lasiolabops cosmopolites. RNAcentral describes it as "partial 16S ribosomal RNA". The stretch from base 634 to 994 matches the Rfam family "Archaeal large subunit ribosomal RNA", at positions 2151 to 2715 of the family's 2987-position model. The record is from RNAcentral. Lineage: Eukaryota; Metazoa; Arthropoda; Insecta; Hemiptera; Miridae.